CCUACGGGAGGCAGCAGUGAGGAAUAUUGGUCAAUGGGCGAAAGCCUGAUGGAGCAACGCCGCGUGCAGGAUGAAGGCCUUCGGGUUGUAAACUGCCUUUAUAAGCGAGAAAUAUGAUGGUAACUUAUGAAUAAGGAGCGGCUAACUACGUGCCAGCAGCGGCGGUCAUACGUAGGCUCCGAGCAUUAUACGGAGUGACUGGGUGUAAAGAGUUGCGUAAGUGGCAUAAUAAGUCGCUAGUGAAAUCUGGUGGCUCAACCAUUCAGACUAUUAGCUAAACUGUUAAGCUCGAGACCGUUAGAGGUAACUGGAAUUUCUAGUGUAGGAGUGAAAUCCGUAGAUAUUAGGAGGAACACCAAUAGCGUAGGCAGGUUACUGGGACGGUUCUGACACUAAGGCACGAAAGCGUAGGGAGCGAACGGGAUUAGAUACCCGAGUAGUC
This 442-nucleotide ribosomal RNA is filed under the name uncultured bacterium. Its description in RNAcentral is "partial 16S ribosomal RNA". It matches the Rfam family "Bacterial small subunit ribosomal RNA", at positions 338 to 795 of the family's 1533-position model. The record is from RNAcentral.